Molecule: transfer RNA, 71 nt
Filed under: Marmota marmota marmota (Alpine marmot)
Lineage: Eukaryota; Metazoa; Chordata; Mammalia; Rodentia; Sciuridae
Also listed under: 1 other name
Rfam family: tRNA
About the family: Transfer RNA (tRNA) molecules are approximately 80 nucleotides in length. Their secondary structure includes four short double-helical elements and three loops (D, anti-codon, and T loops).
Source: Rfam by way of RNAcentral
GGGGUUGUGGCUCAGAGGUAGAGCGCUCACCUGCCAUGUGCGAGGCCCUGGGUUCGAUCCCCAGCACCCCA